This 1199-nucleotide long non-coding RNA is filed under the name Struthio camelus australis. RNAcentral's name for it is "lncRNA (ENSSCUG00000004081.1)". The record is from RNAcentral. Lineage: Eukaryota; Metazoa; Chordata; Aves; Struthioniformes; Struthionidae.
CUGGACUGAGCUAACGCAGGUGUUCCUGGCUCUGGUGCCUGGCGUAUAUCUGAAAAUAGCCUGAUGGCAGGCAAGGGAGACUGAACUUUAGGGUUGUCUGGACCCUUCCCCUCUGAGAUGGGAGUUCGCUCCGAGUCCUGCAGCCUCCCUGACUUUUCCAGGCAGCUGGACUACAACCUGAUGUCUCCUGCUGGAGAUUCUCGCUGGAGAGCAGAGGUUCAGACUUAGUGGUUUGGUGGUGGUGGCUGGAGAGCAGGAAUAUGUCUAGUUUCUGAAAGGCAGAAAAAUUGCUUUGUAUUUAAACUGCUUUUUCCUCCCAAAGGAUCCUUAAGUGUUUGCCAAGCUGCUAAGAGAGGGAGGGUCUGGCUGGCCAACCCUCUGAAGUGGUGGCAGAAGAGAAGGCAAGUGAGCCGGCCUGAGCAGCUGAGGCACCAGGUCAGCACUGGCAAUCCGCAUGUUAACCACAGGAAGGGAGAGGAUGGUGGCCUAGUGCUUCAGGUACAACCAGGAUAUUCCUCUCUGCAUCCUGUAGACACCAGUGAACAGUACAAGUUUUGCUGCCUCCUCACCUUCGCCUUUUCAGCAGCUCCCAGCUCAGCGACUUUCUUCCAUUUUCCUCCUCACUGCGCCAAGGACAACAGUUUGUCAUCGUGCUGAGUAUACCACAGCACAGCAUCGCAGGUGUGCAGCACGUGCCAGAACGACUUCCUUUUCUUCAGCUGGAACCUAAGACAAAGAAAAGAGUUUGUUGUAACGAGCCACUUACGGAGCAUUUCAUCUUGACAUUGGCAGCGCUAGCACAAGAAAAGUCAAUGCCACAACUUUCCUGCUUUUAAGGACAGCACCCAGAGGAGGAUGGAGCCUUGAGGUCCUGUGAGUGUUAAGAACGUGUUUAAGUUUUGUUUGUUUGCAAGAGAAGAACCUAAUCUGCAGUGCUGGAAAACGAUGAUACAGAAAACCACAAGAACCCAUCAUUCUGGUCUGGUCCCUGGAUUUUGUCAGAAUUUUUAAAUACUCCUUUGCAAUUAAAAUUCUCUCUUGUUUGUCUUCUUGUUAGCAAGGCUGAUUGGGGUUGGGAAGGUGCAGGUAGGCUGACAAAUGGGAUUGCCCCUAAGCAUCGAGCUGUAUUUAAUUAGCCCACCUCAACUGCAUGAACAUAGUUAGCUGGCAGCAAAAUUACCCCUUCUGGUAAGUAGGAG